AGCAAAGAUAAAAACGCAACGUGCAUCCGACAAGAUGUGCCAGAGCCGGUAGGUAGCCCGGCCGUCUCAUAUUAAUGAGGUAAGUAACCUGCCCUCCGGGUUGUCCAUUCUUUGUUCAUAA
This 121-nucleotide non-coding RNA is filed under the name Merdimonas faecis. Its description in RNAcentral is "yjdF RNA". It matches the Rfam family "azaaromatic riboswitch aptamer (yjdF RNA)". Lineage: Bacteria; Bacillati; Bacillota; Clostridia; Lachnospirales; Lachnospiraceae. The record is from RNAcentral.